AGUGAACGCUGGCGGUAGGCCUAACACAUGCAAGUCGAACGGCAGCACAGUAAGAGCUUGCUCUUGCGGGUGGCGAGUGGCGGACGGGUGAGGAAUACAUCGGAAUCUACUUUUUCGUGGGGGAUAACGUAGGGAAACUUACGCUAAUACCGCAUACGACCUACGGGUGAAAGCAGGGGAUCUUCGGACCUUGCGUGAUUGAAUGAGCCGAUGUCGGAUUAGCUAGUUGGCGGGGUAAAGGCCCACCAAGGCGACGAUCCGUAGCUGGUCUGAGAGGAUGAUCAGCCACACUGGAACUGAGACACGGUCCAGACUCCUACGGGAGGCAGCAGUGGGGAAUAUUGGACAAUGGGCGCAAGCCUGAUCCAGCCAUACCGCGUGGGUGAAGAAGGCCUUCGGGUUGUAAAGCCCUUUUGUUGGGAAAGAAAGGCAGCAGGUUAAUACCCCGCUGUUCUGACGGUACCCAAAGAAUAAGCACCGGCUAACUUCGUG
This 492-nucleotide ribosomal RNA is filed under the name uncultured bacterium. Its description in RNAcentral is "partial 16S ribosomal RNA". It matches the Rfam family "Bacterial small subunit ribosomal RNA", at positions 29 to 507 of the family's 1533-position model. The record is from RNAcentral.